Molecule: ribosomal RNA, 253 nt
Filed under: uncultured bacterium
Lineage: Bacteria
Description: partial 16S ribosomal RNA
Rfam family: Bacterial small subunit ribosomal RNA
Source: RNAcentral
UACGAAGGGGGCUAGCGUUGCUCAGAAUCACUGGGCGUAAAGCGCACGUAGGCGGCUUUUUAAGUCAGGGGUGAAAUCCUGGAGCUCAACUCCAGAACUGCCUUUGAUACUGAGAGGCUUGAGUCCGGGAGAGGUGAGUGGAACUGCGAGUGUAGAGGUGAAAUUCGUAGAUAUUCGCAAGAACACCAGUGGCGAAGGCGGCUCACUGGCCCGGUACUGACGCUGAGGUGCGAAAGCGUGGGGAGCAAACAGG